GUUCAGCCUAACUGCAUCCCCAUCUCUACAUCUACAAGUGGGAAAUAAUAAUGUUAACUACAUCUUAGCAUUGUGGUGAGGAGUAUAUAAACUAAUCAAGAAGACUCUUAUGGCAUAUAAUUUAAUCAGGGCUCAAAAAACACCAGUCACUCUUACCAUGACUAUUGGUUGAACAGUUCUUCUGUGCUAAAUGAGGUGCUUUAAAGGCGCACAUUCUCAUUUGAUU
Molecule: long non-coding RNA, 226 nt
Filed under: Homo sapiens (human)
Lineage: Eukaryota; Metazoa; Chordata; Mammalia; Primates; Hominidae
Description: LHRI_LNC614.1
Source: RNAcentral